RNA transcript from Olea europaea var. sylvestris, 2007 nucleotides. It is a transcript of the gene named chaperonin CPN60-2, mitochondrial-like, with no coding region annotated. The transcript is spliced from 6 exons. Lineage: Eukaryota; Viridiplantae; Streptophyta; Magnoliopsida; Lamiales; Oleaceae. The record is from RefSeq and is a predicted model, not a curated record.
GUGGCUCUCUCUCUGCCCCCUCAUUUCACACGUCCGCUUUUUGACGAGUUCGUCUCUCCACAACGAGAAACCAAACACUGAGAAGAAGAAGAAAGACUUAUAGCUUUUGGGCUUCAUCUCCUUAUUGCUGACCGUAUGUGAAAAUCCAAGUGCAAAUAUAUGUAUUCCCAAUGGUGUUUCUCAUUCUUUUCUUCCUUGCCAUAGCUUGAUGAGUGAGGAAGAAGAGGAAUCCGAAUGUGAAGAACAGGUACUUAUGUAGCAUGGAAGAGUUCUUGGAACGUAAAUUAGGGUUGAUGAAUUAAUUAAUUAACUUGUCAAUUCUAGAUUUUAGUAGCAUCUUAUAGAUUUUUGAAAUUGUGGAACAGGAUAAGUUAUCUUCGAUUUCGAAAGUUGGCUUCAAACAACUCCAAUUGUUGAUAUUUUUUCUAGCUUUUUUCCAUGUUUUAUCCAGUUUUCUCACAUUCGGUAUUGGGAUAGCUAAGUGGACCAUGGAUGUUGAAUUGCUCUCUUGUGAAUUGCCAGUAUGUACAAGUCACAAAAAGAGGGUAGUUUCUGGAACAAGAUUUGGACCUUUGAUUAAGACUACAGUUUUUGAAUUUUCAGUUAACUGUAAAUACAAUAUUGAAAUUGUAGACAUAGAUAGUUGACUUCUGAUAUUGGCAUAGACUGUAGUUUCUAUUGCAAAGUAUAGUGUCAAACCAAUUCCUUUUUUUAUAUAUCUUUUAUCUUUUCCAACAAAUUUGAUUAGUAUAGCUUGGUACCUCUACCAUAAAUUCUUAUUAUUUCGUGAAAUAAAUCAAUGUGUGCUCCAUCUUAUGUAAUUCUUUUUUAAAUUUUUAUUAUUUCAUGAAUUCCUAUUCCCCAAAAAACUGGGAACUGAAUUAUAUUUUGUGUAAUUAUGAUUUGAUGAAAUCAUGAUUUAUUGUUUGUAUUUGCAGUUCAUCCUUUCUAUUGGUUAAUUAUACUUUGCGAACUUUUCCACUAGACUGCUGGAGAUGGCAAAGGUGUAUUUCUUUUAAUUUUAUUUUUUAAAUAUCAAUUUGUUUGUCUUAAAUAUAUUGCGCAAUGUUUCAUUUCUUCUGAUGCUUUCAUUGUGCUCUGAAAUCGAAUUAAUUUUCUCUUCAAUCUUUUUCGCUGGUCGUCAUGGGGAUGUUUACUCUUUCUCAGUAGAGAGGGAAAUCUGUUAUUCAGUCUAAAGACAAUCAUCAUGAUGUCAGCAUGGGAGGGAAUUCCGCUAAAGAAUGCUUCGAAAUUCUAAAGUCACGUGGGAUCAUAUUUCUCCGUUCUUCAUGACAAAUCAGAAGAACCUGAAAUGUGUAAGUCUCUCUGCUUCUAUUGCUGGCAAUAAAAUGUUUAUAACCGAAAAAUGGACUCCUUACUGGAUAAAGGUGUAUUAAGAAGUUCUCUAACAACUUCAGGAAGUAAACAACCCACUCAUUCUUAUACCUGAGAAGAAAAUUUCAAACUUAAAUGUUGUAGUGAGAGUACAUGAGUUAGCUUUAAAGGUAAAUCUUUCGAAGCCUUCCAUAUGAGUUAUUGAUAUUCGAAUAAGAUUGAUCCUUUUUUGCCAUAUUUGUCCAGAGACAAAGAUGUGUAGUGAUAGUUGCCGAAGAAGUGGAAAGCGAUGCACUUGCAACUCUUAUCCUUAACAAGCUCCUUGCUAGAAUUAAGGCUUCAGAGAAAAUCCCAAAUGGUGCAGAAUGAAUUGGUCAGGCUUGGUGAACGAAUCACAAAAGCUUUGUCUAUGGAGCUUUGCCAUGAAUUUGAGGAUAAGUUCCUCUAGCACGUUACAACUGGUGAGUUGAAACUUAGCUGCAAAAGUCAUAUUUGGCUAAUUUUUGUAAUCAUACAGGAUUUUUUGAGUAACUAGGAUGAAGAAAAAUUUCAUUGUAGCAUCACUUGAUAAGUGAGAGAAUAUCUUUGGAUACUGUAACUUAUAUGAUCUUACCAUGAAUUGAAAUAUUAAUUAUGACUAGUCUUUGACACGUGCGUUGCACAAGUUUUGUA